ACACUGAAUGGAGGACCGAACCGACUUACGUUGAAAAGUGAGCGGAUGAACUGAGGGAAGCGGAGAAAUUCCAAUCGAACUUGGAGAUAGCUGGUUCUCUCCGAAAUAGCUUUAGGGCUAGCCUCAAGUGAUGAUUAUUGGAGGUAGAGCACUGUUUGGACGAGGGGCCCCUCUCGGGUUACCGAAUUCAGACAAACUCCGAAUGCCAAUUAAUUUAACUUGGGAGUCAGAACAUGGGUGAUAAGGUCCGUGUUCGAAAGGGAAACAGCCCAGACCACCAGCUAAGGUCCCAAAAUAUAUGUUAAGUGGAAAAGGAUGUGGCGUUGCCCAGACAACUAGGAUGUUGGCUUAGAAGCAGCCAUCAUUUAAAGAGUGCGUAAUAGCUCACUAGUCGAGUGACACUGCGCCGAAAAUGUACCGGGGCUAAACAUAUUACCGAAGCUGUGGAUUGUCCUUUGGACAAUGGUAGGAGAGCGUUCUAAGGGCGUCGAAGCAUGAUCGCAAGGACAUGUGGAGCGCUUAGAAGUGAGAAUGCCGGUGUGAGUAGCGAAAGACGGGUGAGAAUCCCGUCCACCGAUUGACUAAGGUUUCCAGAGGAAGGCUCGUCCGCUCUGGGUUAGUCGGGUCCUAAGCUGAGGCCGACAGGCGUAGGCGAUGGAUAACAGGUUGAUAUUCCUGUACCACCUAGUAUCGUUUUAAUCGAUGGGGGGACGCAGUAGGAUAGGCG
This 727-nucleotide ribosomal RNA is filed under the name Listeria monocytogenes. RNAcentral's name for it is "bacterial LSU rRNA". It matches the Rfam family "Bacterial large subunit ribosomal RNA", at positions 759 to 1488 of the family's 2925-position model. The record is from RNAcentral. Lineage: Bacteria; Bacillati; Bacillota; Bacilli; Caryophanales; Listeriaceae.